Rhineura floridana is the source of this 859-nucleotide long non-coding RNA. RefSeq lists it as uncharacterized. The transcript has 4 exons. NCBI's taxonomy places the organism in Eukaryota, Metazoa, Chordata, Lepidosauria, Squamata, Rhineuridae. The record is from RefSeq and is a predicted model, not a curated record.
GGAAGCUACCCUCUUUAAGAUGCUGCCAGGCGAAACAACUUUGUGGUGGCAUGCAUAGGGUUAGAAAGAGCCAUCUGCCCAGACCCCCCACAAGAAUGUGCGCUGAUAAAGGCGCGGGCUCAAUGUAAAAUUAAUGAGGGGAAGAAAUUGGAAAUUAAGCCCCCAGUCUUUCAGGCAAAGCCACUAGUUUAAACUCCGUCACCUCAAAUUCAGCCCCCAACGUUUUGGAACUUUGUCUGUGUAAAUCUAAAUACAGACUGUGCUUUCUCAUGAAGUAUUUAAUCUGUCUCUUUAGUAGCUUUAGCAAACUUGUGAUUUGCCCUAUUUGUCAGGAGCAGCCUUAGUUUCCAGAACACACACAUGCAUGUUUCCCAAGGAAUGUACUCAAGGACAGCAGGGACAGAACUGGAGAGAUUUUGAAUCUUGGUGUAAGACCUUGAGACCAAAUUCCUUCCUGGUUUUGGAUCAGAGCCCGUAUGGCUUCAGCUGUAUUCAACUGCCUGCUCUGGGCAUAGGAGAGACACCAGAAGAAGAGAACCUGAGGUCUUCUUGAUGGUAUUGAGCUAUGACUAACAUCAACCCUGACAUUGACCAUGCUUGCUUGAUGGGAAUUGGAAUCCAAUAACAUCUGGAGGGCCACCCCUCUUCUACAUUUUCUUAUAACAGAGCUUGUGCUAUACUUCUGUGGGUGACCUAAACAUGUCCUGUUUACUGGCAUGCUAUCAAGGGCUGACAACAUUACAUUGUACCCUGUGGUUUGAGUGGAUCAGAUCCAAUGAAUUAGCUCAUCUGAGAUCGGAAUGAAUACAGGCAAGUCUAAUAUCCUCUAAUGCAUAGAAGCAAGGAAACUCCUAAUACU